GGGUGUGUGUAUGUGUGUGUGUGUGUUUAACUGAGAGUACUGAGAUGAUUUACUACCUAGGGUUGUCAUGAAGAUGAAGCAAGCUUGGAUGUUCUGUUCUGCAGUUACCUAAUAUCUCGCAAUGAGAAAGGUUCGCAUCCAGCGAUGGAGGA
Molecule: long non-coding RNA, 152 nt
Filed under: Pan troglodytes (chimpanzee)
Lineage: Eukaryota; Metazoa; Chordata; Mammalia; Primates; Hominidae
Description: lincRNA
Source: RNAcentral